RNAcentral lists this ribosomal RNA (301 nucleotides) under uncultured bacterium. Its description in RNAcentral is "partial 16S ribosomal RNA". It matches the Rfam family "Bacterial small subunit ribosomal RNA", at positions 509 to 809 of the family's 1533-position model. The record is from RNAcentral.
CAGUAGCCGCGGUAAUACGAAGGGUGCAAGCGUUAAUCGGAAUUACUGGGCGUAAAGCGUGCGUAGGCGGUUUGUUAAGUCUGCUGUGAAAUCCCCGGGCUCAACCUGGGAAUGGCAGUGGAUACUGGCAAGCUAGAGUGUGUCAGAGGAUGGUGGAAUUCCCGGUGUAGCGGUGAAAUGCGUAGAGAUCGGGAGGAACAUCAGUGGCGAAGGCGGCCAUCUGGGACAACACUGACGCUGAGGCACGAAAGCGUGGGGAGCAAACAGGAUUAGAUACCCGUGUAGUCCCUGUCUCUUAUAA